Molecule: small RNA, 490 nt
Filed under: uncultured Gigaspora
Lineage: Eukaryota; Fungi; Glomeromycota; Glomeromycetes; Diversisporales; Gigasporaceae
Description: SSU rRNA
Rfam family: Eukaryotic small subunit ribosomal RNA
Source: RNAcentral
AGCAGCCGCGGUAAUUCCAGCUCCAAUAGCGUAUAUUAAAGUUGUUGCAGUUAAAAAGCUCGUAGUUGAAUUUCGGGGUUCUACCGUUGGUCGGGCUAUAGUCUGUACUGGCGUGUGGAAUUUCUACCUUCUGGGGAACUAUCAUGUUAUUAAUUUAGCGUGGUAGGAAACCAGAACCUUUACCUUGAAAAAUUAGAGUGUUCAAAGCAGGCUUACGUCUGAAUACAUUAGCAUGGAAUAAUAAAAUAGGACGGUGGUCCUGUUUUGCUGGUUUCUGAAUCACCGUAAUGAUUAAUAGGGAUAGUUGGGGGCAUUAGUAUUCAAUUGUCAGAGGUGAAAUUCUUGGAUUUAUUGAAGACUAACUACUGCGAAAGCAUUUGCCAAGGAUGUUUUCAUUAAUCAAGAACGAAAGUUAGGGGAUCGAAGACGAUCAGAUACCGUCGUAGUCUUAACCAUAAACUAUGCCGACUAGGGAUCGGAUGAUGUUAAU